GGACACUAGAAAUCUGUGUGCAUUUAGAUUCCUACUUCUUAGCUUUGCGUGGCGUGACAUUGAAUGGAGGUCCAGGUGACCCCAAGGACUUGGGGAACAGGUCCACCCACAUCAUCAGACGUCCCUGACAGACGUGGGCUGUACAGUGGUCUGGUCUCCACGUGUUCAGGUGGUCCCGUGGUUUGACUCCCCCCUCCAUCAUCCUUUCCUCCCCCUUGCCCUCCCUACCUCCACAGUUCUGAAGCAGAGGAAGAUGUGGAGGAAAAGUAAAAAUAGACAAAUGCAUGAAACUCAGUGAAGUCGAGUAGAAAAGCAGGCAAAGCAAAGAAUGAAAGAGUGGGAGGACUAACAGACAGAGGAGUUCAGGAAGGAAAAGGGAGAUGUAAUAUCUAAAACUUCACCUGAAGCAGAACAGACUGUCCUUCCUGCGUAUAACCCUGUUUUACAGGUCCACUAAGCUUUGAGUCAUUCUCUUUGUGCAUUAAAGUUUAACAUAAUAUUUUAUUUAAUAAAUGACACUUCCAGAUCAGA
Molecule: long non-coding RNA, 531 nt
Organism: Betta splendens (Siamese fighting fish)
Lineage: Eukaryota; Metazoa; Chordata; Actinopteri; Anabantiformes; Osphronemidae
Exons: 3
Source: RefSeq, a predicted model, not a curated record